AUCGUAACUCCUACGGGAGGCAGCAGUGGGGAAUAUUGCACAAUGGGCGGAAGCCUGAUGCAGCGACGCCGCGUGAGGGAUGACGGCCUUCGGGUUGUAAACCUCUUUCAGUAGGGAAGAAGCGAGAGUGACGGUACCUGCAGAAGAAGCGCCGGCUAACUACGUGCCAGCAGCCGCGGUAAUACGUAGGGCGCAAGCGUUGUCCGGAAUUAUUGGGCGUAAAGAGCUCGUAGGCGGUUUGUCGCGUCUGCUGUGAAAGCCCGGGGCUCAACCCCGGGUCUGCAGUGGGUACGGGCAGACUAGAGUGCAGUAGGGGAGACUGGAAUUCCUGGUGUAGCGGUGAAAUGCGCAGAUAUCAGGAGGAACACCGAUGGCGAAGGCAGGUCUCUGGGCUGUUACUGACGCUGAGGAGCGAAAGCAUGGGGAGCGAACAGGAUUAGAUACCCUUGUAGUCCUAGAGC
RNAcentral lists this ribosomal RNA (461 nucleotides) under uncultured bacterium. RNAcentral describes it as "bacterial SSU rRNA". It matches the Rfam family "Bacterial small subunit ribosomal RNA", at positions 329 to 802 of the family's 1533-position model. The record is from RNAcentral.